RNAcentral lists this long non-coding RNA (306 nucleotides) under Populus tremula. Its description in RNAcentral is "long non-coding RNA (PTRE_LNC002745)". Lineage: Eukaryota; Viridiplantae; Streptophyta; Magnoliopsida; Malpighiales; Salicaceae. The record is from RNAcentral.
CCCAAUUGAGGAUUCUCCAGUAGGAAACAAUGUUGGUGAGGAGUCAGGACCUCAAACCUCUGGAGCUUCCAAUGGCUCAACAAUUUCGGUGGAUAUGAAGUCUAGGCCAAGAAGGUCGCCUCUAACAGCAAGAGAGAGACUAAAGGCUGCGAGAGUUAUCAGCCGUUACACAGAAUCAAAGACAUCAGAAUCAGAGAUGGGCAGGAAAGUAUUGGAUGCCCUGAGAGAAAGUGACAAGGGCAAGAAAAGAUCUGGCCUUCCAGAAGUUCCUGAAAACUUGUUUGAUGACAGCAAGCGAGGUUGCCA